UGGGGAAUUUUGGACAAUGGGCGAAAGCCUGAUCCAGCAAUGCCGCGUGUGUGAAGAAGGCCUUCGGGUUGUAAAGCACUUUUGUCCGGAAAGAAAUCCUUGGCUCUAAUACAGUCGGGGGAUGACGGUACCGGAAGAAUAAGCACCGGCUAACUACGUGCCAGCAGCCGCGGUAAUACGUAGGGUGCAAGCGUUAAUCGGAAUUACUGGGCGUAAAGCGUGCGCAGGCGGUUUGCUAAGACCGAUGUGAAAUCCCCGGGCUCAACCUGGGAACUGCAUUGGUGACUGGCAGGCUAGAGUAUGGCAGAGGGGGGUAGAAUUCCACGUGUAGCAGUGAAAUGCGUAGAGAUGUGGAGGAAUACCGAUGGCGAAGGCAGCCCCCUGGGGCCAAUACUGACGCUCAUGCACGAAAGCGUGGGGAGCAAACAGGAUUAGAUACCCUGGUAGUCCACGCCCUAAAACGAUGUCAACUAGUUGUUGGGGAUUCAUUUCCUUAGUAACGUAGCUAACGCGUGAAGUUGACCGCCUGGGGGAGUACGGUCGCAAGAUUAAAACUCAAAUGAAUUGACGGGGUCAUAGCUGUUUCCU
Molecule: ribosomal RNA, 588 nt
Filed under: uncultured bacterium
Lineage: Bacteria
Description: partial 16S ribosomal RNA
Rfam family: Bacterial small subunit ribosomal RNA
Source: RNAcentral